Molecule: ribosomal RNA, 471 nt
Filed under: uncultured bacterium
Lineage: Bacteria
Description: bacterial SSU rRNA
Rfam family: Bacterial small subunit ribosomal RNA
Source: RNAcentral
ACUCCUACGGGAGGCAGCAGUGGGGAAUAUUGCACAAUGGGGGAAACCCUGAUGCAGCCAUGCCGCGUGUGUGAAGAAGGCCUUCGGGUUGUAAAGCACUUUCAGUAGGGAGGAAGGUAGUGUAGUUAACACCUGCAUUAUUUGACGUUACCUACAGAAGAAGCACCGGCUAACUCCGUGCCAGCAGCCGCGGUAAUACGGAGGGUGCGAGCGUUAAUCGGAAUUACUGGGCGUAAAGCGCAUGCAGGCGGCCUGUUAAGUCAGAUGUGAAAGCCCGGGGCUUAACCUCGGAAUUGCAUUUGAAACUGGCAGGCUAGAGUCUUGUAGAGGGGUUAGAAUUUCAGGUGUAGCGGUGAAAUGCGUAGAGAUCUGAAGGAAUACCAGUGGCGAAGGCGGCCCCUGGACAAAGACUGACGCUCAGAUGCGAAAGCGUGGGAGCAAACAGGAUUAGAUACCCCUGGUAGCACAGAG